UGUAUUUGCUAAAUGAUGCUAACUGCUAC
This 29-nucleotide non-coding RNA is filed under the name Homo sapiens (human). The record is from RNAcentral. Lineage: Eukaryota; Metazoa; Chordata; Mammalia; Primates; Hominidae.